AUGGCUCAGUAACACGUAGUCAACAUGCCCAGGGGACGUGGAUAACCUCGGGAAACUGAGGAUAAACCGCGAUAGGUCACUACUUCUGGAAUGGGUAAUGACCCAAACCUAUAUGGCCCCUGGAUUGGACUGCGGCCGAUCAGGCUGUUGGUGAGGUAAUGGCCCACCAAACCUGUAACCGGUACGGGCUCUGAGAGGAGGAGCCCGGAGAUGGGCACUGAGACAAGGGCCCAGGCCCUAUGGGGCGCAGCAGGCGCGAAACCUCUGCAAUAGGCGAAAGCUUGACAGGGUUACUCUGAGUGAUUUCCGUUAAGGAGAUCUUUUGGCACCUCUAAAAAUGGUGCAGAAUAAGGGGUGGGCAAGUCUGGUGUCAGCCGCCGCGGUAAUACCAGCACCCCGAGUGGUCGGGACGUUUAUUGGGCCUAAAGCAUCCGUAGCCGGUUCCACAAGUCUUCCGUUAAAUCCACCUGCUCAACAGAUGGGCUGCGGAAGAUACUAUGGAGCUAGGAGGCGGGAGAGGCAAGCGGUACUCGAUGGGUAGGGGUAAAAUCCGUUGAUCCAUUGAAGACCACCAGUGGCGAAGGCGGCUUGCCAGAACGCGCUCGACGGUGAGGGAUGAAAGCUGGGGGAGCAAACCGGAUUAGAUACCCGGGUAGUCCCAGCUGUAAACGAUGCAGACUCGGUGAUGAGUUGGCUUUAUGCCAACUCAGUGCCGCAGGGAAGCCGUUAAGUUUGCCGCCUGGGGAGUACGGUCGCAAGACUGAAACUUAAGGAAUUUGGCGGGGGAGCACCACAAGGGGUGAAGCCUGCGGUUCAAUUGGAGUCAACGCCGGAAAUCUUACCGGGGGCGACAGCAGAUGAAGGUCAAGCUGAGACUUUACCAGACAGCUGAGAGGAGGUGCAUGUCGUCGCCAGCUCGUGCUGUGGAGUGUCUGUAGUCAAGUACGAGCGGAGACCCUGCUUCUAGUGCUACCAUUAUUCCUCAGGAGUAGUGGGAGCUUAUUUAG
Molecule: ribosomal RNA, 1007 nt
Filed under: uncultured archaeon
Lineage: Archaea
Description: bacterial SSU rRNA
Rfam family: Archaeal small subunit ribosomal RNA
Source: RNAcentral